This 292-nucleotide ribosomal RNA is filed under the name uncultured bacterium. RNAcentral's name for it is "partial 16S ribosomal RNA". It matches the Rfam family "Bacterial small subunit ribosomal RNA", at positions 505 to 796 of the family's 1533-position model. The record is from RNAcentral.
GUGCCAGCAGCCGCGGUAAUACGGAGGAUCCAAGCGUUAUCCGGAUUUAUUGGGUUUAAAGGGUGCGUAGGUGGGAUGAUAAGUCAGAGGUGAAAGCUAGCAGCUUAACUGUUAAAUUGCCUUUGAUACUGUUAUUCUUGAGUGUAGUUGGCGUUGGCGGAAUGUGACAUGUAGCGGUGAAAUGCGUAGAUAUGUCACAGAACACCGAUCGCGAAGGCAGCUAACGAAGCUAUCACUGACACUGAUGCACGAAAGCGUGGGGAGCAAACAGGAUUAGAAACCCGCGUAGUCC